UAUUGCGGGGGAGGAGCCGCGGCGGUAGUCGUGAUCGUAAUUUCCGGUCAGUGCACCGCGGAGUAUUAGAUUUGGAACAACACUGACAUUUGAAAAUUAGCACACUUAGUGAGUGUGGAUAGUGUAGGCCUACUACGUUUAAGUUUACUCAUGGAAGUAUGGAUAUUGGAACACAGCAUAGUCCCCUUUACGUCAUACACGCCCUCGGUCAUCCGUCGACGGACGCAAGUAGUGUGAACAAGGCGUGAACGAGGCGUAAGCGUAUCCAACCUGCUGCGACCUGCUGUGUCCUGUGUGCAGACUAGCUGCAGCAUUAUGUGGCUAAAACGCCUGAUACUGGAGGUCUCCACUAGGGGCAGACCACAGUCAUAUCCGAUCCUAAAUUGUGCAAAAGCAUGUGCAUUGCGUGCUCAUGUAAAUAAACAACAUGGAGUCACUGGUAGAGGAAAAACUGAUUAUUAUACAUUUUACAUAAGCCGGCGGCUGAAAAAUGCAUCGAAAGAGUGUUAUCAUACAGGUGUGGGAAAUCGCGGACUAGGUCCGACAGUCUCUCCGAGAAACUUUCCGCCAUGCUAAUAUAGCUCCUGACCUCGAGGUCACUGCAAAUUCUCUCGAUCAGCCACAACUUUCUUGUCAGGAUUGCAUCUUGCGGCCGCAUCGUGUUCGCUUGCGACGUUCGCAUCGGACGCAUCAAGCGGUCGCAUAAUACGCAUGGCAGCCAUGAUCCGUACACGUAUGCGUUGUCUGCAGCAAGUCAAUUCCAGCCCUAUGACAAACUAAUUACGUCACAUUUGAACUCCGUUGGGUAGCCGCUACAAAGGUCGCUAUGGGAACGGACGGCGAGGGGAACUCGGUGAGUGGGCGUAGCCAAACAGUGAGCCGCUUUCCAAGAAGUCCCUCAGUCGGAACGCGCCUUAUGCGCCAUGUGUCCUUUGGCUGGAGCAUUCCAGCUUCUGCUUUUGAUGUUAUUUGUACUGUAUUUUGUUUGGAUUGUUACUCUCAGCUAUGCGUUUUGGUACUUCUUAUUUUGAGCAAACAGUUAACGGUUAACUAAAUAUAUAAAAAAUAUAUAUAUUUACAUGAUUUAUCAAUGCAUCUAAAUAAUCAAUGGUGUAAUGCACUUAAGUGUCUUUUGUCAUCACUUAACAUUGGUCAUGCAUUUUGGGAGGGGGGAAUCAUGGUUGAAGCAUGUUCAAGCAUUUUCAUUUUUGGUUGUCAUUUUCAAAAAGUAUUAUAAUGCGUUAUAAUACAUGUUCAGAUUCAAAAUAUUUUUUGAAAUGUAACUCUCAUUAUUUAUUUUGAAAAUAUUUUGUAUAUGUACUGUAUAUACAUAGAUACACCAUUCUUUUAAUCUAUAUGGAUAUAGAUAUGUAUGCAUAUAUAUAUACAGUAUAGGCCUACACCCAGAUACAUACAUAUGCGUGUAUACUGUAUGUAUAUAUAUAUAUAUAUAUAUAUAUAUAUAUAUAUACUGUUUGUAUAUGUAUGUAUAUUUUAUGCAUGUAUUUUAUUUUUUUAUUUUUUAUUUUAACUUACAAGUUAGAAAUAUGCACUCUGUAUUGUAGAGCUAAGUGGCCUUCCCUUCAUGUACGUCCCCGAUGGUUGGGUUAUAUUUAUAGAAUCUGCCUCGGACCGGUUCCUCAAUGACUGAAAUAAAAUAAAGCGUUGCUGUUUCAGUGCUUUUUGAACAGAGAAACCGCAGCUUCCCUCCUCUGUUCAGUUGUAUUUGUUUACAGGCCGCUCUCGGCCUCUCAAAAGGAUGGCGACGGCGAUGUGAGGUCCAAAGUCCUAAUGUGGUUUCUAUGUAUUUAUGUUAAUAGUCCUUGUAUAGUGUGUGUGCGAUGGAUGGUCACCACGUUCACUAAAUGUCAGCAUUCAACACCUGCUCGGCUUAAUAAUAUCUUGUCAACUCUUAAAUAAAAAGCUUUUACA
Molecule: long non-coding RNA, 1932 nt
Organism: Gadus macrocephalus (Pacific cod)
Lineage: Eukaryota; Metazoa; Chordata; Actinopteri; Gadiformes; Gadidae
Exons: 3
Source: RefSeq, a predicted model, not a curated record